CACGUAGUCGGCUUUGCAAGUCGGUUGUGAAAUCCCCGGGCUCAGCCUGGGAACUGCAUCCGAGACUGCAUUGCUAGAGUAUGGGAGAGGAAAGCGGAAUUUCUGGUGUAGCAGUGAAAUGCGUAGAUAUCAGAAGGAACAUCAGUGGCGAAGGCGGCUUUCUGGACCAAUACUGACGAUCAGGUGCGAAAGCGUGGGGAGCAAACA
RNAcentral lists this ribosomal RNA (207 nucleotides) under uncultured bacterium. Its description in RNAcentral is "partial 16S ribosomal RNA". It matches the Rfam family "Bacterial small subunit ribosomal RNA", at positions 568 to 774 of the family's 1533-position model. The record is from RNAcentral.